This is a non-coding RNA of Solanum lycopersicum (tomato), 849 nucleotides long. The record is from RefSeq and is a predicted model, not a curated record. Lineage: Eukaryota; Viridiplantae; Streptophyta; Magnoliopsida; Solanales; Solanaceae.
ACAAACAGAUCAAAUAAAAGAGUAGCCCAUUCAGAUAGCCCGAUAGAAACAUCCAAUAACAUCUCCUUAAUGCUAGGGUUCCUAGUUCCUAAUGCGCCUCUCUCUUUGAGCAUAACUCCACUCCAACCUGAAAAAUAUUUCCACUUUGGAUCAACAAGAAGUUCCACCUCCUCAAGCUAUGGACUAUCACCAUUCAAGAGUGAACAAGCAAGUUACAGUUAGCUGGGAAACCACCUUCUUGUUCUAGAUGAACAAAUUGGAAUCACCUAUUCAGCUAGUUCAUAUGUUCAUUUGUAGAGCAAGUACAUCUUCUCUCCUUUUUCUCAAAGAACUCGAGGAAGGUACAAAAGAAAAUAUUUUGGAGAGAUGCCAUCACUAUAGGAUAUUGAUGGCUUCAUAGUUUCAUAUUCUUCUGCAGCUCAGGAAUCUCCUAUUUAUGGAGAAAAAACCAUGUGGGAUUUAGUUACCCAAAGUUCCAAAGCAACAAAGUAUGCUAAUCAACGUGAAGAAUUUGAGUUCACGUGGAACCCUAUUGUUGGAUAUAUAGAUCUUGUGAAGCUUAGAUUGCCCCAAUUUUAGGGUAAGGGGGAUGCAUUAUCUAACUCCAACCUGGCAUCAGAAGAAUUUGACUCACCGCAGUCUUUCUUUAGUUAUAUCUGAAGUUGUUCCUAUAGUGUCGGCAUGUAAUUAUAUAGCUUGUUUCAAUUUUCUUUUUACCUAGGAAGAGGAGUUUGAGAAAUGGGAGGUGUACAUCAUUCUUCUAUGUAUAUUGAAAUGUGAACCUUUAAUUUCUGGAACUUGACUUCCAAGUUAAGAAGCGAAUUGGAUGGAGCUAUGAUUACAAGCAGA